AGCUCCAGAAGCGUAUAUUAAUAUUGUCGCGGUUAAAAAGCUCGUAGUUGGAUUUCUGAUUAACCGUUCUGGCCCGCAGAUUUCGAUUUGUGAGUGCCGGAAUGUUGUUUUUCAUCCUUUCAGAGAGCUAGUGUCUACUCUUAACUGAGCAGGACGCUGUAAUCUGGAUCAUUUACUUUGAAAAAAUUAGAGUGUUCAAGGCAGGCUUUUGCUAUGAAUACAUGAGCAUGGAAUAAUAAUAUAGGACUUUGGUUCUAUUUUGUUGGUUUCUAGGACUGAAGUAAUGAUUGAUAGGGAUAGUUGGGGGUGCUAGUAUUGUUAGGCCAGAGGUGAAAUUCUUGGAUUCUAGCAAGACUAACUACUGCGAAAGCAUUCACCAAGGAUGUCUUUUUUAAUCAAG
RNAcentral lists this ribosomal RNA (400 nucleotides) under phytoplankton environmental sample. RNAcentral's name for it is "partial small subunit ribosomal RNA". It matches the Rfam family "Eukaryotic small subunit ribosomal RNA", at positions 587 to 981 of the family's 1831-position model. The record is from RNAcentral.